RNAcentral lists this ribosomal RNA (425 nucleotides) under uncultured bacterium. Its description in RNAcentral is "partial 16S ribosomal RNA". It matches the Rfam family "Bacterial small subunit ribosomal RNA", at positions 354 to 796 of the family's 1533-position model. The record is from RNAcentral.
GUGGGGAAUAUUGGACAAUGGGCGAAAGCCUGAUCCAGCCAUGCCGCGUGAGUGAUGAAGGCCUUAGGGUUGUAAAGCUCUUUCAGUGGGGAAGAUAAUGACGGUACCCACAGAAGAAGCCCCGGCUAACUUCGUGCCAGCAGCCGCGGUAAUACGAAGGGGGCUAGCGUUGUUCGGAUCUACUGGGCGUAAAGCGCACGUAGGCGGAUCGUUAAGUCGGUGGUGAAAUCCUGGAGCUCAACUCCAGAACUGCCUUCGAUACUGGCGAUCUUGAGUACGGAAGAGGUGAGUGGAACUCCUAGUGUAGAGGUGGAAUUCGUAGAUAUUAGGAAGAACACCAGUGGCGAAGGCGGCUCACUGGUCCAAUACAGACGCUGAGGUGCGAAAGCGUGGGGAGCAAACAGGAUUAGAAACCCCUGUAGUCC